UUUAGUCUCAGUUUCACAGUAACUGUACCUGGAAUGAUUACGUGGGCAGCAUUGUGAAGCAUUUUAAUGCAAACGAAAGUGAUGAGUGGCAUUGGGUGGAAGUCUCUCUUCCCACACCUCCAUGGCAGCCGUGGUGGCAGCUGCAGCCGUUUGGCUCGGGGCUCCCUCCUCAACAAGUGGUUCAAAAGAAGCCUGCUCAGGAAGAGACUGAAGAAACGUCCUCACAAGAAUCCGCAGAGGAAGACUAGGAGACCGCAUCAUGCAAUUUCUACCUCAUCAGCAGUUGGGUCUUUUGAAGGGAGAAGACACUGCCUUGACCACUUAUUUUCUAUUGCCAUGGUCUUUCCACUUUUGCCUGGGGGAAAAAAAAUCGCAUAACCUUAAAAAGGAUUUGACUAAUCAUCUUCUUUGUAAUCCCUUCACAGUCCCAGGUUUAGUGAAAAACUGCUGUAACACAAUGGGGGCACAGAUUAACGAUGCAACUUUUAAUUACUGUUUUCUUUUUUCUUAACUUACUAAUAGUUUGUUUGAGCUGCUAAGUAAGGGUGACUGGGUCAAGAAGAGCUCCAGAUCAGGUUUAAGUCAUUCACUGCACUGCAUAUAAACAAGAAACUUGUAACAUAUUAAUUAUAAUGGGCAUUGAAAUAGGAAAGGCUUGGUGUGUAACACUAGGCCUUGCAACACUUCCAGCAACCCACUCCCUACUUAGUGUACUCCCUGUUUUAGAACACCAAAGAUAAGGGAUAGAUACUACUUUUUUUUUUUUUUUUUUUGUAACCUUCUUGUAGACUUGUACUUGAUUUUUAUUUUUUUUUUAAGACUUACUGGUAUUUCAGGAAAAAAAUGAAAGCUGAUCUCUCACUUCAUUCAGCUGGUAAUCAGAAGAAAGAAAGCAACACGAAAAAGGUACUUUCAUUUUGCAAAAGGGAAGAAAGACAAAGAUACGUUGUAUAGUUACAGAUACAAACAUAUCAGCAGAAGUAGUAAUAAACAAAACGAACAGCCCUCACCUUCUGGACAAUAGGAAGUCCGACAGAGUCGGCUUUCUGUAGAGCCAGGCGUUUUCUGUGGAAACAGAAAUGACUGGCACCAAACACUUAAGCCAUUAAUGACUAAGUCUUUAUCAAGAAAAGUGUUUUAAAACGUAUAGAAAGGUACCUCGAAAUUAAUACUGAAUUUGUCUGAACAAAAUAAUCCAGAUGUUUUCGUAGUUUCAACUAAUUCCACUCACCCCAUACCAGGUUUCAAACAAAACGAAUCUCUUCUCAUUACUCAUCAGUCAUGAUGUAAGAACCAACACCAUGUACCUCAGCUAAGCUUGUGUAUUACUUUAAGCAAUGUAUUUUGACAUAGGAUGGUUCACUGUGCACCUCUGUGCCGGUGGCGUUUCUCCAUCUUUUCAUUCAAAGCAGCACUUUUAGCAACAGAUGCAAUAUUACCCCACUAUUCAAUACUACCUCUGAUUUUUACAAUUAACUCAACAGACUGAUAAAUACAUGCUGCUAUACACAUUCAAUGCAGGAAAUUUUUACUGGGUAGAUAAUCACGAGUAUCUGCAUUUUGCCCUUAUUUCUACUUCAACACUUAAUUGCAGUUAAGGAAGCAAUAUCUUUAUUGUGUUUCGGCAUGACUAUGUAUUUUUCUUUCUCCUUUUUUUUUUUUUUAAUGUACUUACCCUAUUCUCUGCUAGACUUCUGUGUAAUGUACUGUUAACUUGAAUAUAUUUUUGUACUGAAUUGCUGAUAGGUUUGUAAGGAUAAUUUUCUUCAAUGACACUACAUGACAUAGAAAAAAAAAUUAGCUGUAAUGUUUAAAUAUUACUGUCCAAGUUUGUACCUCAAGUGAAUUGUUUAAAGAAAUGGACUAAUUGAUUGACAAAGACCUACCUCCAGACUUUAAAUGGAAUGAACUUGUUACUUUCAGCAUUAGUUUUGAGACGUUUGAAACAGUUAGGACUGCAAUUAAUCCCUAAUUCAAAACUAUUUUUGUAAAAUAACUUGUGGAAAAUGAACACGUUUUAAAUUACUUUCGUAUUAAAAAAAAAAAAAAUGAACAAAAAAAAACCUUCAAAGAAACUUGAAGCUUUGUAGGUGGGAAGCAACAAGCUCAGCUUUUGCAUAAUGCAAUCACGAAUAUGUGUUUAAAAAAAAAAUUAGUAGAUUGUAAGAAAAUACUUGACAAGUAUUUUCAUGUAUUUUACACAAAUGUGAUUUUGUAAUAUGUUUCAGCCAGAUUUAUUUUAAAUGCUUCUUAUGUAGAGGUUUUUUAUUCUCCUCUCUCUCACUCUUUUUUUCCCCCUUUUUUUUCCUCUUUCUCUCUUCCUAUUUCAUUUCUCUCUUUCUGUUUAAUUUCCCUUCUUCCUCUCCUAGUCAGUACUUUGUAACAUUGUAUUAAUAACUGGGCCAGGGGUAGGUUCUCAGGAAGGCAUCUGUUGGUAUGGCUUUAUUAGCAAGCCAAACGCAGUUAAAGGUAACUACUUGCUGGCUUCUUCCAAGAGGCAGUGUCAAGAACUGCGGACCUCCUCAAAAGACUGCAGAGGGUUCAUUGUCGGAGAUCGCUGAGAAAGAGCUGAUCGGAGUGUUAAAACGA
RNAcentral lists this long non-coding RNA (2589 nucleotides) under Cairina moschata (Muscovy duck). RNAcentral's name for it is "domestica (muscovy Duck (domestic type)) lncRNA (ENSCMMG00000005758.1)". The record is from RNAcentral. Lineage: Eukaryota; Metazoa; Chordata; Aves; Anseriformes; Anatidae.